RNA transcript from Cryptomeria japonica (Japanese cedar), 14847 nucleotides. RefSeq lists it as uncharacterized. The transcript has 2 exons. NCBI's taxonomy places the organism in Eukaryota, Viridiplantae, Streptophyta, Pinopsida, Cupressales, Cupressaceae. The record is from RefSeq and is a predicted model, not a curated record.
CGAGACGUUUCUGACGGGGGGACGUGCCCAGAAAGGGGGGGGACACGUCCCCGUGGAAUGCUGCUUUUUUCCCUGUAGACUUAGGAGUCUUGAAUGUCUGCUCUAAAAUGGCAAAAUUUCCUCGUUCAUCUCUUUGUAUCUCCUUUGUCUGUUCUGGAUUGUUUGGGUUAACCAAACAGGAAGUUGCCCACAUGCCACACCAAAUGAAGUGUUUGGUGUUUCUAAAGCUUCUUCAUUUUGUUCUUUAGACACAUUCUCUUCUCUGUACCCUUCUAUUUCAUUCUGUUGCUGCUCUUCAUGAGUUUGAGGUGUGUCUUCUUUUGAUUUCUGAUUUUCUUCCUCAUGAUCAUGUCCUUCCUCAUUUUCUUGGUGUUCUUGAUCAUGUCCUUUUCCUUGAUGACUUAUAGGGACCUCUUCUUCAUGUUGAUCGUUUGGAACUUCUUCUUCGUUACGCUCUUCUUCCAUUCACUCUUCACCAAUCAUUGUGUGCAAUCUUCUACAUUUUCAACAUUUUCUUUAUCAACUUCUUUGGUUGCAUUUCCUUCAUCAACUUCUCUAUGCACUUCUUCUUCUUGGUGAUUAUGUUGAGGGAGUUACUCUUCUCUUCUCUGUUCUUCAUCUUCAGCUUCUUCAUUCUGAUUUGAUGUUGGAACUUCAACUUCUCUUAUUUACUCUUCUUGCAAAUCAUCUUCCAAAUUGGUUACAUUUGGAUUCUCUUGCUGAGCUGAGUCUUUCUCUUGUGUGGAUGGUGGCUCCAAAGGAGGACACACUUGCUCACUUUGUGUUGAUGUAGGUGGAACAUCCUUUGCUUGUACAAGAGGAACUUCUACCCUUGUUCUCUUCUUUCUAUGUAAUUGUGGUUCAACGACUUCUUUUUUUGAUUAUUCGAUAAUCAUUUGCUUAGGCACCUUCUUCAAUAUCCUGUAAGUCUUGGGUGUUUUAAGUGGCCUUUUCCUUUAUCUUUGGACCUUGAUGUUUCAACUUUUCUUAAAAUAGUGGGAGUGGUGGUAGCAGUAGCAGCUGGUGUGGUGGAAUUCUUUUUACUUGAGGAAGCAACCUUUGGAGCUCCUCCUCCUUUACCUUCAACAACCCUUGUGACCUUUAUUGGGACUCUUUCUAUGACUAGCUUUGCAUGACCCACUAGGUUGUGGUCGAGGCUGACCACCUACUAAUGGCACAAGAUCCAUUGGAUAUGGAUUUGAAAUCCAUUCUUGAGUCCAUCUAACCACAUUGCUCUCCCUGGCAUUCAUAUCCUUAACUUCUACAAAAGAAGGGUCUUCAUUGAAUAUGGCAAUGCUGUAGAUUUUCUAUGUAUUGUAGGAGGGGUGCAACCUAUUUCCAUCAUCUUUAGCGUUAGCUACCUCAGGGAUCCAUAUUUUUGAAGCUGAGUUGGCAAGCUUAAAAUCCAUCAUGCAAUAAUCUCUUAUUUUCACAUCAUAGUCAUCUGAUAGUUGGCCCAAUGAUCUUCUACUUUGGGCUCAUGCUUGAAGUAGGCCCUAAUGAUUGGGCCAAUCUUGCCAAUUGGAUCAAACUUAUUUUUCUCUACUAUCAAAGGUUUCAAUGAAUAGUUUAGAAGCUCUAGUUCCACACCUUUAGCACUUUUGUUUCAAUGAAUAGUUUAGAAGCUCUAGAUUAGAAAUUUGAAGCAUGGUUUAUGCUUGUUGACGAUCAAUACAUGUGCAUCCCCUACUUGUUUGCACUAGCUUGUUGGAAGGAUAUCUUGGCAACUUAUUUGGGGCUACAAUGCAACCAACCACUCUAAUAUAUGUGAAAGUUUUGAAAUGGAUAAAAUAGCUUACAAAUCUUUGGAUCUCAGCUGCUGCAUUUGGUGACAAUCUCUUUGCAAAAUCACCCUCCAAUGAUUUGAUUAUUGCAAAUACAAACCCACCAUUGACAACAUCAUGGAAUUUCCUACUCUUCUCAAGAGUCAAGUGAGGAUAGUGAUUGUAUAUUCUCAUUUUUGGAUCAUUCAAUGACCCUCUUCUCCUUAGCUUGGGAAUAGGUUGUUUGUGUUGCAAGCAAAUAAACCAAGUAGGAAGUCAUAUAGAACUUUGAGUCAUUUUGUACCCUCAGCAUCUGAUCAUGCAUGUUGUCACUUAUAAUUUUGCCCCAAUCUAUGUGUUCCUUUUGGACAACAAUGGUCUUGAUGAACAAGAGCAUCCAUGGAUGGAACUCCUUGGCAUUAGGUAACCCUACUACUCAGCUUAGGAGAGUGACUUGAUUUCUUGCAUCCAUAUGUAACAUGCUUUUGUGAAUUGUCUUCAACUUAUCUAGUUGUUGUCCUUUCCUUGGCCUCUCCAACAAAUGGUUGUUAAUGUAGUCCAUAGGAUGUGUGCGAUUCUUAUAAUAUUCAUCCCUUUACAUUCAUUUUUGCAUAGCCAUUAUAUGGAGGAAUACCAAAUACUCUUUUGAUUGAAUUUGGAGUCCUAUUUAGCACUAUUUCCCCCAGAGGCCCAUAGACUUUUCUUUAAGCUGCAUUGUAGUGUUUGGCAUAGGCCAACACUAGGUCUAAGGGUUGUAAAACUAAAGAAAUAGGGAAAGCUGCUGCUUGUACCAAUCCAGACUUUACCAAGGAUGCUCCCUUGUAGUUCCCGUUGCUUGGAUUUGCCAUCCUUUUUAGGAACUCAUCUAGGUCAAUAUGACAUAAAUCUAUGUUUGUUAUUUGUUAUUCAAAAAACACUAGCUUGGAGGGAGGGUAGUAACUAAAGAACUUUACUUCAUUGGAGUUGCUUUCUCUUCAAACAUCACUUCUCCUGCACAAAAACUAAGUUAGGAAAAUACACGGUGUAAGCUAAAGGACAUUAAUAUCAUUGAUAUUACUUUUUCAUCAUAACAUGUAUCCAUAUUGAACAACAACUAACAUUGCAUGAAUCAAGAGUAGAUGAAAUGGAGUUUAGGUCUGGAUUGGGGAUUGGGCUUGAGCUAGUCCCGAUAAGCCUGUAGUACUUGGGACCAAGGAUCCUUGAAGCCCGAUGUUUGACGGUCUAUUCAUUAUGGGUGGGGCUCAAGGUUUAGAGUUUACCAAGACUUUGACAUUUUAGACUUAGGCACCCUCGAAGCCUGUUCUAAGGAAUGUUUUGAGGCAAGGUGAUAGCGGGGAUCGGUGGUUGGGGGUCGGUGUAUCCCAAGUGUAAUAAUCAUCCUUCAUCCUUCAUGCCUGACGACUAAUGGAUCGAAGGCCAAUCGGGGAUUGGGGGUUAGGGUUCAAUUUCUUAGCUUGAGGAAAUUGUCAAAGGCCAAUUUCGAUCUCCAAAGGUUGACAUACUUAGGUUUUUUCUCCCUUAGUGGGGUUCAAGGUUCGAACCCAUGUCAUUGUAACCUAUGUCACCUGUCAUCUUCAACAUCGAAGGUUGAUGUCUGAAUGCUUUGGGGACAGAUUGGGGAUCCUUGAUCAUACUUUGUAUGAUAUUGGUAGAGCCCUGAGGCUCAAUCCUUGAAUUUGUGACCAACCUGUUGUCAUUUUAUGACACCCUUGGUCCAUCAGUGAGAACCAAUCAAAGAUAUGUUCCAUGGACCAGUUUUGCCUCAAUUGAUUAAGCACCAAGUCAGAGAAUUAGGAAAAUGCUUAAGUGUUCUUUUGUCAUGGGUCGGACUUUUGGUCUUUUCGCCUUGCAUCUUGCCUUCAGUCCCUGGGGUCCACUGGCCCACUCUCCCUCCCUUUUCCCAAAGGAUUUUGGAUUUUGGGGAACUGGUCUAACCUUUACUCUUUUGGUAAGCGUUUGACCAUUUCCCCGAACCUUUGUUGGAUUUUGGAUUUUGAGGAAUUGGUCUAACCCUUACUUUUUUGGUAAGUGUUAGAUUGUUUCCCCAAACCUUGAAAUACGAAAACCCUUUGUCAGAUAUUAGGGAAUUGGUCUAACCUUUACUCUUUUGGUAAGUGUUAGACCAUUUCCUUGAACCCCGAAAUAUGAAAACCAUUCCUUUGUCAGAUUUUGGAUUUUGGGGAACUUGUCUAACCCUUACUCUUUUGGUAAGCAUUAGAUCGUUUCUCUAAACCCUAAAAUACAAAAACCCUUCCUUUGUUAGAUUUCGGAUUUCGGGGAAUUGGUCUAAUCCUUGCUCUUUUGGUAAAAGUUAGAUUGUUUUCCCGAACCCCGAAAUAUGAAAAACCCUUCCAUUGUCGGAUUUCGAAUUUCGGGGAACUGGUCUAAUCCUUACUCUUUUGGUAAGCGUUAGACUGUUUCCCUGAACCUCGAAAUACAAAAACCCUUGUUAGAUUUUGGAUUUUAGGGAACUAGUCUAACCCUUACUCUUUUGGUAAGCGUUAGACUAUUUCCCUGAACCUUGAAAUACGAAAACCCUUCCUUUGUUGAAUUUUGGAUUUCAGGGAAUUGGUCUAACCCUUACUCUUUUGGUAAGUGUUAGACCGUUUCCUUGAAACCCAAAAUACAAAAUCCUUCCUUUGUUGGAUAUAGAAUUUUGGGGAACUGGUCUAACCCUUUCUCUUUUGGUAAGUGUUAGACCGUUUCCUUGAACCUCGCAAUACAAAAAAUCCUGCCUUUGUUGAAUUUCCGAUUUUGAGGAACUGGUCUAAUCCUUACUCUUUUGGUAAGUGUUAGACUGUUUCCCUGAACCCCGAAACCUAAAAUCCCUCUCCCACCUCCCUCUUGCCCCUUCGGUCUUUCGGACUCCGGGGUCCCUGACUCCUCAUUAUUAGUGACGGUUUCCUGAAGGCUCGAUGCCCAAUCUCCGAUGACUCCAAAUGUUGUGAUUAACUCCUACAACUUGUCUAUUUUCAUAUAUGGAACUAUAGGGGUGCAUUUAAUGUAUUUUGCAGGUUGCCAUCAAAGUAGAGUCCAAAGCCAUGCCUAUUUAUAAUUUCCUUGAUGGCCUUAAUGUCAAGUUUGCGUGCUUUGACAUUGGAUUGUCAGACUAUCCACCUUCUAGAAGUACUCUCCUUCUUGAGAUUCCCUUGUCAAGGUAUGGCCAGGUUUCUUGCAUGCACACUCAUGUCAGAUUCGACCACUUCCUUAUUUUCUCAGAUUGACAUUCUCUUGUACACGCUAGAGUUAGGGUUUCCCCUCCUUGACCGUUGGUUUCUUCUUUGCGAACAGUUUGCUAUAAGUAGGUUGUUAAGCCUCAUUGUAAAGGGUUCUCUCCCUAGUAGUUUGAGCUAUCUUCUAGUCUUUCACUUCUUUUGAAGACUUGUAUAUUUCUUGCAUUUCUGCAAUUGUAAGUUUGGUUGUUGGCCCGAGAAUGAAUCAAAAUCGUCAUUCUUGCCUCUCUUUGACAUAUGCAUGUUGCGUAUGUUUUCUUACUUCCAUGAUACUCUUUCACUUCUCUCGAAGACUUGUAUAUUUCUUGCAUUUCUGCAAUUGUGAGUUUGGCUGUUGGCCUAAGAGUGAAUCAAAAUCGUCAUUCUUGCUUCUCUUUGACUUAUGCAUGUUGUGUAUGUUUUCUUACCUUCAUGAUAAGUGUGUGUUUCCUGGCUUUCUCUUACAUAUAUGCUAUGUUAACUUGUUUUUGAGUGACUUGUGGGAAACCUUCUUACCUUUUGACAUGUAACAAAUUCUAACCUCCAUACAUGCUUUUGGUGUCAUUUAUGCAAUUGAAGUUUGUGCAUCUCCAAUGUAUUUUGAUUGAUUCUUUGUGUCAUUUUGGGGCGGGGAGAGAGACAUCUCUUAUGUUGGUGCAUCACCUCUUUACUUUCUGCAUUUUCUCACCUCUUGUCUCCUACAAGCUGUUAGAGUAGGUUUAGGAGUACAAUUUGAAGUGUUGGGUUGGUUCAAUACCUGCAACUGGAUAAAGAAGGAAGCCAACCUUCUCCAUAGAUUCAAUCCCUUGCGCAAGGUCCCACACUUUGGGUUUGUUUCCAUGUUUCAUGAGGUUGUUGAGUUGAUAGCUUGGCAAGGGUGCAAACUUUUGUGACAACACUCUCCUUCAAGUACAAGUUCUCCACCAUUAUCCCAAUUCAAUAAUUUUGCUCUUAAGCGAUUUAAUUGUGAAAAUGGCACAUGCCAUGAAGGUUUGUGUGGCUUCAAAGGCCUUAAUUUUGGCUUAGUGGUAGGAGCUCUACCUUUGAACUUUGUGAUUUGUGCAGCCUUUUGACCAUGUUGAGGGCAUUGCCCCUAGAUCCCCAUGAGGGUUGUCGCCCCUUGACCCUGAUGGGGUUGUUGCCUUUCAAACUCAUUGGGGUCUCCACUCCUUAGACCCACACUAGUUAUUGGGAUCUCUUGUCACAUAAGAAACUUGAUUACAAUGAGGGGUGACAACAACUGUUAUCUAACUCUUGAGUGUGUUGACUAAGAUGUUAUUAUGCCCAACUUGCCAAAAAUCUCUUUAGAUGAAGCAACUUUUACAUGACAUGGGCAGUGGAAGUGGCAUUGUAACUCAUUGUGGUUCAAAUGAAAUCGAUCCAAAUGUUGACUUUGAUGCUCUUGGUGAAGAGCAAUAUGAAGAUUAUUGAAUACUGAUUGUAAUUUUCGUUGUGUAUUGACUUUUGACAAGUCGCUAAAUUAUGAAUUUAUGAAUCUUUUCUUUUUGGCAAAUCACGAGUUAUUUAAACAUGUUUAAAUAUUGUGUUCUGUGAUAGACUGCCCCUAUUUGCCCAAUCUGACUUUCCAAUCAGCUUGAAGAAUUUUGACAAACAAUUGGCUAGCAAUAACUUGUGAACUGAAUUCUUUCUCUGACUGUUUGGGUUAAUGAUUUGUUGUCACCUGGUGCGUUUUAUUUGUUUUUGUGCAUUCAUUCAUUCACAAGCUCAAUGGCAACAUAUCUUACAAUUAUUAAGUAAACUACUGAACAUUUAUUGUAUACCAUUCAUUUGACAAAAUUCAUAUCAGAACAACUAACAGUAAGCAUUUGCUAAUGUUUCAAUUUUUCCAGCCAUCACCAUAACAUUAUUACUGUUCUUUCUCCUUAGACCACAAUAUUAUUUCAAAGAUUCAAUAUACAAAAUAGUUACAGCUGCAAAUGAAUUUAGCUGGGAACCUGGAAUAAAUUAGUUGCUGUGUAUCUCUUUCAGUCCUCACGUCCCAGCAGCAAUCUCUAUUCACACCAUAACAGCUGCAGCCACAUGUAUUCCAGGUCACAAAUUGAAGAGGCUCAGAAUCAUGGUUCCUGGCUGUCCUUCACACGCCCAGCACAAAUGCACACAGCGAAUUUCAUUAACCACACACAAUGAUUUUUGUUUACAUCCAGCAGGAAGAAGAACUAUGAUAUGCCCAGCCAAUAAAAUGUCUUUCGCGCAGCCAGAGUAUAUACGUCCAGCCAAGGGUAUUUGCAAUGCCCAGCAGGCAUAACUGUUCAUAUACAGCAAAAAGGAAACCCAACUGCUCAACAUAGGGGAUCAGCAGAUUAUUUAUUUUCUCACAUACUUAUCGCAGAAGUUAAGGAUCACGCCCAGCAAUAUUAAUGAAGUUGUUACAAGUCAAUGUGCAUCCAACACUAGUUGACUAGUCUGUACAUUACAUUCUUCAAAAUCUCCACUGUGUGUUCUGCAAGAGGGCCGAUUCUUUUGUGACAAGAAAUUGACACUUCCAGUUCGCCCAGCUGCAACCUCAGGGCUGCGAUUAAUGGCAUUAAAGUCUCUAAACCCUGCGAGUAUUUCUUUCUGAGCAACAUCAGCUUCUACCUGAAGAUAUAAUGUUCUAUGGUAAGUUAGAAGAUGUCCUUACCAAUCACCAAGGACUGCGACUUCCUCCAUGAAUGAACUUUGUCCUGCGCAUUCCCAACUCCAUGAUUCCAGUCACUGCAAUUUUGAUUAAAGAUUUCCCAGAUUUGAUCUUUCACAAAUGUGGGAAACGUCGCCAGUGAGGGUGUAUGUCCCCAAAAGCCAAUAAGUUUUCCAGAUUUUCUCAAGAAACACAAUUUCCAAGAUGUCCCAAUCUGCAUUUAAUGCUUUCAUUUAUAACUCUCAUUGGGCUCAUUUCCCAAGACACCAUGAAUGUGGGAUAAAUAACUUCUGUUUAAAAUAUCACUUCUCUUAAGUGAAUAAAGUGUACCUUUUAAAAUAAAGUGACUUUAUAAAUAAAUGUACUUUGAUUUAAUAGUCACAUUAUUAAUUUUAACUCCCUCUUUCCUCUAAAAAUGACCCUUUCAAUAAUAUAAUAAUAUUUUGACAUUUAAGGUCACUGUUUUAUGCGCCCAAGAUUUAAAACUUUUCGCUCUGGUUCCAAUGAGCUAUAACACUAAGGCUGGAAUUAAAUAUUUUAAUUAAAUUUAAACAUCCUUAGUAAAAUAAUUAAAAUAACUCAUUAAUGCAUCAAAUUUGCGAAACCGUGUUAGAACACAUCGGAAUCAAAUUCCGAUCGCACCAGAGUGAUCUUGAUGAUGAAUAAUAGAAAACGAGGCUGAUCGGGCGACUUACUAAAAUAGACGGCUUAUCCAAGAUUCUUGGAGACCAAUCUAGAGGCCAUAAAUCACUUUGGAAAGUGGUGUAUAACUCCAAUAAACCAACUGAGCUCAUCGGAAACAUCAGAUUAUUCAUCCGAACAAGCUGACGCGAACCCAGAGUAUCAGCUGCUAAAGCUUGCUGGAGAACCUGAAAAUUGGGGACAUUACAUGUUUACUGGUAAUUAUGAGUAUUGCUCUCUCUCUCUCUCUCUCUAUAUAUAUAUAUAUAUAUAUAUAUAUAUAUCUGUGUGUGUACAGCUGUACCCAGGCAUACUGUAUCCAAGGAUAUUUUGUCGUGCUGGACUACCUGAAUUCCUAAGUUGCAGGGUUCGCCCCUGGGAAGCCCUGGUACGGGUCCGGGUUCGACCGGGUCCGUGGUACGGGUCCGGUUCGACCUGGGUUCGACCAAGGUUCGUAAAACCCAGGGUGGGUUCGACCCGGGUCGAACCCAGUCGAACCCGGGGUCGAACCCAGUCGAACCCGGGCGGACCCAAUCGAACCCGCGUGGCUGGGCGGCCCAAUAAGUUAAAAAACAAACCAAAUUUUUUUUUUUUUUCAAUUCCGCCUUUAAAAAAGCGAAAAUUAUAACCUAAAAAACACUUCUAAAACAUCUUAUUGACACAUUUCACCUCAUUUGUGUUGCAAACAAAUUUUUUAUGAGAGCAGGUUGAAGAGAGGUUGAACAAAAUUUGGCUUCCAAGAUCAAAGAGGAGGAGUUGAAGACUGAUUUUAGAAGCUUCAACAAGUGUUGCAGCAUCAUUUCCAUACAUUUUCAAGCUUCCAUUGGCAGCAAGAGGUAGGUUUUUAAACAUUUUUUUCCAACUAUUUUUGUUUCACAAAUUGUCAAACAUGAAACUUGAAUUUUUUUUCAUUAUUUAGUUUUUGUUUUUGAAUAUGUUUAUUUUAUUUCUUGCCAUAGGAACUAGAAUGGCAUCUACAUCUUCCUCCAUUGGCAAUGAACAAGUAAUUGCAAAACAAAGAAAUGAUCCAAAUUCUCCCUUAUGGAAAUAUGUGGACAUUAUAAAACAACUUCCGGGAGGUGGGGGAUUCCGUUGGAAAUGCCAUGGAUGUGAUAUUGAACGUAAUAGUUCAUAUUAUCGAGUGGUAGGCCAUUUGUGUGGAAUAAAAGGAAGAGGCAUCAAAAAAUGCCCUGGCAAAAAUGGUAAACCUAUACCAGAUGAGAUAGUGAUGAAAUAUAUUAGGGAGCAUGAGGCGGCAGAAGAGAGGGAAGCCCGUAGAUUGAACCAAACCGCAUCAAAGAAAACAAGGGGAAUGCAAGGCCCUUCUAAUCCCAGUAUUGUAGUAGAAGACCACCCCUUCUUUGCCACAAAUGGACCUCAAAGUGAACCACCCUUGACACGUAAAAGAACAAAAGGGCCUUUAGAAACCGCAUUCCAAAAUGAGAGUAGAGACAAUGCUGAUCAAGAUAUAGUAAGGUGCAUUUAUGCAAAUGGUUUGUCAUUCAAUGUUGUUCGCUCCCCAUAUUGGAAGCAAAUGAUAAAAAGUGUUAAUGAGGCACCAAGAGGGUAUAAGGGCCCCGGUUAUGAGAAGGUACGUGGAACAUUAUUGGAGAAAGAGGUGAAGAGGGUUGAAGAUGCAUUGAAACCCAUAAGGGAUUCGUGGGUUGAGACAGGUGUAGCAAUUGUUUCAGAUGGGUGGAAAGAUGCUAAAAACCGUCCCUUGAUCAAUGUCAUAGCGGUGUCCCCUAAAGGGGCAAUGUUUUUGAGAGCUGUGGAUUGUGAGGGCCAAAUAAAAGAUGGCGAAUUUAUUGCAGAAAUUCUCAUCUCUGCCAUUGAGUCUGUGGGACCCCGCAAUGUUGUCCAAGUCAUAACGGACAAUGCAAAAAAUUGUAGAGCUGCUGGUUUGUUGGUUGAGCAACGCUAUGAUCACAUCUUUUGGACACCUUGUGCGGUACAUUCACUCAAUCUUAUGCUACAAAGGAUUGGGCAAAAAAUAAAAUGGAUCAGAGAUGUGUAUGCAGAGGCUGAGGACAUCCAGAUGUUCAUCACAAACCACCACAUGUCUCAAGGGAUUUUUAGAACCUAUUCGAAUUUGGAGGUAUUGAAGGUAAGUGAAAUAGUAAUUUAAUUUUACAUUUUCUGAUUUUUUUGAAUUUUCAAUGUUAAUAAUAUCAUUGUGUAAGCUAUAUUGUGUAUUCUUCUUUAAAGUUUGGCUUUAUUUUUUAAUAAUUUGGCAUUAAUUUGUGUUAUAGGUUGCUGAGACCCGUUUUGCAUCAAACACAAUCGUCUUAAGACGACUUGUGAAAGUUAGAGUGGCACUAUGCAAUAUGGUGAUCAGCACCAAUUGGACUGUAUGGAAGCAAAGUAGCACUGAGAGGGCAGGAAAAAUUAGGGAUAGAAUAUUGGAUGAGAAAUGGUGGGAUCUUGUUACAUAUCUCCUAAGUAUCACUGAGCCCAUCAUGAGCAUGAUUCGCUAUACAGACAUGGAUAGGCCUUGCAUAGGUGAGAUUUAUGAUGGCAUUGAUUCAAUGCUUGAAAAAAUAAAGUUCACUAUAAAUGAAAAAGAGAAUGAUCCUCAGGAGAAAUUCUUCAAAGAACUGGAAUUAAUUAUUGUAGAGAGGUGGAAUAAGAUGACCACUCCUUUGCACCUUCUUGCCUAUGCCUUGACACCUAAGUACUAUAGCAAUCAGUUUCUUGAUAAACCAGGAAGGAUUCCACCAUGGAGAGAUCUAGAAGUAUCUGAUGGGUAUAAGGCAGCAUUUCUUAGACUAUAUCCCGAUGAUGAUUUGCGAGAUGUUGUUACAAAUGAGUUCAUAGAAUUCGCAAAUGGGAAUGGUCUAAGUGUUGAUGCACUUCGUCAUAGAUCCAAGAAAGAUGCUCAUAGCUGGUGGUACUUCCAUGGCACAUGCUUCCAACACCUACAACCCCUCGCUAUAAAAGUUUUAUCACAAGUUGCUAGUUCAUCUGCUUCAGAAAGAAAUUGGAGCACAUACUCUUUCAUCCACUCAGUAAAGCGCAAUAGGCUGCUAUCAAAAAGAGCGGAGAAUUUAGUAUAUGUGCAUUCCAACCUACGUCUUCUUUCACACAAACAACAUGACUACACACAAGGGGAAACAAAGAUGUGGGAUAUAGAGCCAGAGCAUACUGAUUUGGAUGCUCCUGGUUCUCAGCUUCUUGCAUUGACACUUGAUGACUCGGAAAUUGAGCCAACUUAUAGUGCAAGUGCAAGUGGCAUUGGCUCAUGUAAUGUCAAUGUCAAUGAGGAUGAGGAGGAGGAGGAGGAGGAGGAUGAAGAAUUAGAUGAUCCAUUUGAUGAUUAAACUUUUAAGUUUAUAUUGUUGAAAGUUGAAACAAUGAUACUUGAAUAUUUUGUCAUUUUGAUAUUAAACUUGAUGUAUAUGAUGCUAUUAUCAAUUAUGGUAUGAUCAUGAUGCUAUGAUUACAAGUUUAUGUUUGUUUUGUUGUUCAUAUGAUGCUAUGUGACAUACAUAUUUUAAUUCAUGCUUAUAGGCUUUGAUAUAUAUAUAUAAAUUUACAUGUUUUUGUACUAACGAACCCAAACGAACCCAAACCCCUUUUCAAAAUUUUGCCGUACCGGCGUACCGGGUUCUUCGAACCCGAACCGGAACCCGAACCCGAACCGGCAACUUAGCUGAAUUCCAUACCCAACCCCAUAUUAGAAUUGGUAAAUUAGCUUUGAAGUAUGAGAAUUUAUCAUUUGUUAAAUUCGUCUCUUUAUAGGCACGCAAAUCUAUGCCAACUUGUAGAGCUUACCAGUUUGGAGAUAGUAGCCUUCCUUGGGCUUAAAAUCUACUCCUCUAUCCCAUGUAAAUACUGAAAUGCAUCCCAAAAAUCUGCAUCAUUGCCAUAUCCUUCACUAUAUCAAGGUACAAGGUAGUAUAGGGAGCAUGUUGACAAAUUGGUGCACGUUUAGAUUCAGCUCAGCCAUAUCCAUUGGGUUGUUUUGAGUGGCAUAAAUACCCACGUGCUACUUGUACCAUUCCCAUACUGAUGAACACUAAAACAUUGCGUUCAAUAUUGCGGCUAAGUCAGAAAUGGAUGGAGCGUCCAAGGCUGAAAUGAAAGGUGGUUAAGACAACAUAUCAAUAUACUCAUUCAUCACACCUCUCUUAUAUUUGAUAACCAAAUAAAAUUGUUGCAAGAAAUCGUUAAUCUAUCAAGAUAUGCUUGUGACAAUUUUGGUAUUGUUUGCAAAUGCUGGAGUGGUUUGUGACUUGUGUGGAUUUUAGUUUCCUUUCUAUUAGAUAGUGUUUCCAUAUCUUAAGUACUUGAACAAGUGCAUAAAAUUUCUUAUCACAUGUGCAAUAAUUUAAAAUUGUUCAAUGAAACAUAUUAGAAUUAUAAAAAAUGAGUUUAUCUCCUUGCAAAAGGACAAUCCCCUUGGCAUUGUCACUUUCACCUGUUUCCACCUCAUUGGAGCUGCAAAGUUGGUAGUGCCAAAACUAGUGCAUUGGUUAUAUUUUGCUUCAAUUCAACAAAUUCAUCUUGCGAUUACUACCCCAUGUAAAUGAUGUAUCACUUGGUGUUAAAUAAUGUAAAGGUGUGCUAUUACAAAAAUGGAUUCAAUGAACUUCAUCAGUACUUAGCUUGCUUUUGAAACUCUUUGUUUCCAUUAUGUUGUAAGGCAUUGGCUACUUCAAGACAACUCAUGUUUUCGUUGGUUUAAUUAUCAUCUGCAAUUCCAACCAUAUGUACCAAAUAAGUUAGUGAUGGUUGAGUAAACACAUUUUUCUUCUCUUUGAGCUGCAGCUCAUUUUCUUUCAAAACUUGUUUCAAAUGCAUUAGCUGCUCACCCAAGUGAAAACCAAGAUAGCAUCCAAUUAAACAAUGAAACAAGAAUUAGUAAAUGGUUUCAAUAUUUCUUUUACGAACUUUAUGAAAGUUGUCAGAACAUUACACAAUCUUAAAGGAAGUACAAGCCGCUUAUACAAAGCUUGCUUUGUCUUGAAUGCUGUUUUCCAAACAUUCUCAUUUGUUUUAAAAAACUUAAUGAAUCCCAGAUUUCAAAUGCAACUUUCCAUAUGCAAAUUAAAAUUAUAUUCUUCACGCCUAAGUCACCAGGUUCGGCCGAAUUUCAUCCUUAAAGUUCGAAAUUCGCCGAACAAAAAAAAAAAAAAAAAUCGUUGAAAUUCGCUGAACUUCAAAUUUUUUUUUUCUUUAUAAAUUUUUGGCUUUCUUCUUUUGUUAAUAUUUUUUAAGCACAUCUUUAGUCUGUCGUGAGUCGCGGCUUGCAGGAGAAGUAGUCACGGACCCGUGAUAGUCGCAGCCUGCAAGGGUAGUUCUUCGUGCCCUAGCAUAUGUUUCCUAUGGUUUAUAUUUUAUAAAUAUGUCAUCUUUUUGUAACGAUUUCAAAUCUAUUUAUCAAUGUUAAACUAUUUAGGCAAUUUUAUAGAUAUAUUACAUAUAUUUAUUAAAACAAUUUAAAAAUUACAUGUGGCGAAUUUAAUUCGAGUUUUAUACAUUUCGAGUUUUUCCCUCAUCGAACUUCAUUUGAAUUUCAAAGUUGUCAAACUUUGAAUUCGAAUUCGAACCUGGUGACUUAGCUUCACGCAUCUUCUAGUUCAUUGCAAGCUUGAUACUCUACCAAGUGAUCUUGGGGAAAUUUAGGUUCAGAGCAUCUGAUAUUGCGUCUACAUCUCUACAAAAUUGAAGAUUGAAGUUAGCUAGCUCUGGCAUCUGCAAAAUUUUCCUCGUCAUUCUUUCUAAAAUAUGAUUCUGAGCUUAUUGCAUGAUCAUAAAUCUUUUUAAUGAAGUUUUGUGUGGUACUUCAACCCUCUUUUAUUUGUCUUAUUAGUAAGGUAGUCAUACUAGGAGAUUGUAAAACCUCAAUGCAGUCUUUUAUCCUUAACAGUGAUAAUAAUCUUUAUGAUAAUUCUUGACACACUUUUUUUUAUUUUUAUUUCUAUUUUUAUAUAGUUUAGCUCACAAGGACAGUGCUCCAAGUUUUAAAGACUUGAGUGUAUUGCCAUGAGGUAUUUUGUAAUUGUAGGAUUAUUGUUUAUCAUACAAAGAAAGAUAUCCCUCUAGGUUGGACAAUUUUUUAAGGUCUGGCACUAUCUUUCAAUGUAGCUGUCAUUAGUUUUGCGUUCUGUUGACAUUAAAAUAUUCAAGAGUUUUGUUUGAUUUAGGUAUAUAAAACUGGGCUUUCUUUUGAUCUUCAAAAAUAAGGGUUAGCUCUUUUGUCACUUUAUUUUAAGGUUUUCUUCUAACAGAAUCAAGCUGCUAUACCCUUAAUAAAAACCAUUUCUCUCAUUUAGAUUGUACUUAUCUCAAAUAAUGACAACUCCUAUAUUUGCUUUCAAGGAAUAUGGGGAUAGAGUAUAAGUAGUAUAAGGAGGUGAAUGAGGUUUUUCCCCUCGUACAAUCAAAAAAGAGGAUCUGUUUAGGCCAAUAACAAAAAUGUUUGUUUCAAAAGAGAUGGUAACAGUCCCAAGACAUAUAUUGUUUUGGAAGCGAGUUUGAUAUUCUUACAUCGUUCUUUUUGAGCUUAGAGCUCAACUGGCUUUUAUAUAGCUAAUGCUUAUAGCUUUGA